Molecule: ribosomal RNA, 1556 nt
Filed under: Vibrio parahaemolyticus
Lineage: Bacteria; Pseudomonadati; Pseudomonadota; Gammaproteobacteria; Vibrionales; Vibrionaceae
Description: bacterial SSU rRNA
Rfam family: Bacterial small subunit ribosomal RNA
Source: RNAcentral
AAAUUGAAGAGUUUGAUCAUGGCUCAGAUUGAACGCUGGCGGCAGGCCUAACACAUGCAAGUCGAGCGGAAACGAGUUAUCAGAACCUUCGGGGGACGAUAACGGCGUCGAGCGGCGGACGGGUGAGUAAUGCCUAGGAAAUUGCCCUGAUGUGGGGGAUAACCAUUGGAAACGAUGGCUAAUACCGCAUGAUGCCUACGGGCCAAAGAGGGGGACCUUCGGGCCUCUCGCGUCAGGAUAUGCCUAGGUGGGAUUAGCUAGUUGGUGAGGUAAAGGCUCACCAAGGCGACGAUCCCUAGCUGGUCUGAGAGGAUGAUCAGCCACACUGGAACUGAGACACGGUCCAGACUCCUACGGGAGGCAGCAGUGGGGAAUAUUGCACAAUGGGCGCAAGCCUGAUGCAGCCAUGCCGCGUGUGUGAAGAAGGCCUUCGGGUUGUAAAGCACUUUCAGUCGUGAGGAAGGCGGUGUAGUUAAUAGCUGCAUCGUUUGACGUUAGCGACAGAAGAAGCACCGGCUAACUCCGUGCCAGCAGCCGCGGUAAUACGGAGGGUGCGAGCGUUAAUCGGAAUUACUGGGCGUAAAGCGCAUGCAGGUGGUUUGUUAAGUCAGAUGUGAAAGCCCGGGGCUCAACCUCGGAAUUGCAUUUGAAACUGGCAGACUAGAGUACUGUAGAGGGGGGGGUAGAAUUUCAGGUGUAGCGGUGAAAUGCGUAGAGAUCUGAAGGAAUACCGGUGGCGAAGGCGGCCCCCUGGACAGAUACUGACACUCAGAUGCGAAAGCGUGGGGAGCAAACAGGAUUAGAUACCCUGGUAGUCCACGCCGUAAACGAUGUCUACUUGGAGGUUGUGGCCUUGAGCCGUGGCUUUCGGAGCUAACGCGUUAAGUAGACCGCCUGGGGAGUACGGUCGCAAGAUUAAAACUCAAAUGAAUUGACGGGGGGCCCGCACAAGCGGUGGAGCAUGUGGUUUAAUUCGAUGCAACGCGAAGAACCUUACCUACUCUUGACAUCCAGAGAACUUUCCAGAGAUGGAUUGGUGCCUUCGGGAACUCUGAGACAGGUGCUGCAUGGCUGUCGUCAGCUCGUGUUGUGAAAUGUUGGGUUAAGUCCCGCAACGAGCGCAACCCUUAUCCUUGUUUGCCAGCGAGUAAUGUCGGGAACUCCAGGGAGACUGCCGGUGAUAAACCGGAGGAAGGUGGGGACGACGUCAAGUCAUCAUGGCCCUUACGAGUAGGGCUACACACGUGCUACAAUGGCGCAUACAGAGGGCGGCCAACUUGCGAAAGUGAGCGAAUCCCAAAAAGUGCGUCGUAGUCCGGAUUGGAGUCUGCAACUCGACUCCAUGAAGUCGGAAUCGCUAGUAAUCGUGGAUCAGAAUGCCACGGUGAAUACGUUCCCGGGCCUUGUACACACCGCCCGUCACACCAUGGGAGUGGGCUGCAAAAGAAGUAGGUAGUUUAACCUUCGGGGGGACGCUUACCACUUUGUGGUUCAUGACUGGGGUGAAGUCGUAACAAGGUAGCGCUAGGGGAACCUGGCGCUGGAUCACCUCCUUA